ACCAGACUCCUACGGGAGGCAGCAGUGGGGGAUAUUGCACAAUGGGGGGAACCCUGAUGCAGCGACGCCGCGUGGGUGAAGAAGCGCCUCGGCGCGUAAAGCCCUGUCAGCAGGGAAGAAAAUGACGGUACCUGAAGAAGAAGCCCCGGCUAACUACGUGCCAGCAGCCGCGGUAAUACGUAGGGGGCAAGCGUUAUCCGGAUUUACUGGGUGUAAAGGGGGCGCAGACGGCGAUGCAAGACAGGAGUGAAAACCCGGGGCCCAACCCCGGGACUGCUCUUGGAACUGCGUGGCUGGAGUGCAGGAGGGGAAGGCGGAAUUCCUGGUGUGGCGGUGAAAUGCGUAGAGAUCAGGAGGAACACCGGUGGCGAGGGCGGCCUGCUGGACUGCAACUGACGUUGAGGCCCGAAAGCGUGGGGAGCAAACAGGAUUAGAUACCCGUGUAAG
RNAcentral lists this ribosomal RNA (447 nucleotides) under uncultured bacterium. RNAcentral describes it as "bacterial SSU rRNA". It matches the Rfam family "Bacterial small subunit ribosomal RNA", at positions 330 to 793 of the family's 1533-position model. The record is from RNAcentral.